This 439-nucleotide ribosomal RNA is filed under the name uncultured bacterium. RNAcentral's name for it is "partial 16S ribosomal RNA". It matches the Rfam family "Bacterial small subunit ribosomal RNA", at positions 339 to 795 of the family's 1533-position model. The record is from RNAcentral.
CUACGGGACGCUCCAGUGGGGAAUAUUGCACAAUGGGGGAAACCCUGAUGCAGCAACGCCGCGUGGAGGAUGACACAUUUCGGUGCGUAAACUCCUUUUAUAGGUCAAGAUAAUGACGGUAGCCUAUGAAUAAGCGCCGGCUAACUCCGUGCCAGCAGCCGCGGUAAUACGGAGGGCGCAAGCGUUACUCGGAAUCACUGGGCGUAAAGAGCAUGUAGGCGGGUUAAUAAGUCAGAAGUGAAAUCCAAUAGCUCAACUAUUGAACUGCUUUUGAAACUGUUAACCUAGAGUGUGGGAGAGGUAGAUGGAAUUUCUGGUGUAGGGGUAAAAUCCGUAGAGAUCAGAAGGAAUACCGAUUGCGAAGGCGAUCUACUGGAACAUUACUGACGCUGAGAUGCGAAAGCGUGGGGAGCAAACAAGAUUAGAUACCCCGGUAGUC